Molecule: unclassified non-coding RNA, 266 nt
Filed under: uncultured fungus
Lineage: Eukaryota; Fungi
Description: partial contains 5.8S ribosomal RNA, internal transcribed spacer 2, and large subunit ribosomal RNA
Rfam family: 5.8S ribosomal RNA (bases 1-52)
Source: RNAcentral
AACGCACAUUGCGCCCUUUGGUAUUCCGAAGGGCAUGCCUGUUCGAGCGUCAUUUCAACCCUCAAGCUCUGCUUGGUAUUGGAAGCCGCCCUCGAGCCCUCCGGGGCAAAGGGGCGCUCCCGAAAAACAGCGGCGGUGUAGCCGGGCUCAUAGCGCAGUGAACCUAAAAAGUCUCGCUAGCGAUGCCCCGGGUGACUCCAGCCGGACAAUAACCCCAUUUUUCUAUGGUUGACCUCGGAUCAGGUAGGGAUACCCGCUGAACUUAA